AGCAGUCGCCGCGGUAAUACAGAGGGUGCGAGCGUUAAUCGGAUUUACUGGGCGUAAAGCGUGCGUAGGCGGCUUCUUAAGUCGGAUGUGAAAUCCCUGAGCUUAACUUAGGAAUUGCAUUCGAUACUGGGAAGCUAGAGUAUGGGAGAGGAUGGUAGAAUUCCAGGUGUAGCGGUGAAAUGCGUAGAGAUCUGGAGGAAUACCGAUGGCGAAGGCAGCCAUCUGGCCUAAUACUGACGCUGAGGUACGAAAGCAUGGGGAGCAAACAGGAUUAGAUACCCGUUAGUCCCUGUCUCUUAUACA
This 303-nucleotide ribosomal RNA is filed under the name uncultured bacterium. RNAcentral describes it as "partial 16S ribosomal RNA". It matches the Rfam family "Bacterial small subunit ribosomal RNA", at positions 507 to 808 of the family's 1533-position model. The record is from RNAcentral.